AGAGUUUGAUCCUGGCUCAGGAUGAACGCUGGCGGCGUGCUUAACACAUGCAAGUCGAACGAGCCUUCGGGCUAGUGGCGGACGGGUGAGUAACGCGUGAGAAUCUGCCCUCAGGAGGGGGAUAACGGCUGGAAACGGCCGCUAAUACCCCAUAUGCCGCGAGGUGAAAUGAGAAAUCGCCUGAGGAUGAGCUCGCGUCUGAUUAGCUAGUUGGUGGGGUAAGAGUCUACCAAGGCAUCGAUCAGUAGCUGGUCUGAGAGGAUGAUCAGCCACACUGGGACUGAGACACGGCCCAGACUCCUACGGGAGGCAGCAGUGGGGAAUUUUCCGCAAUGGGCGCAAGCCUGACGGAGCAACGCCGCGUGAGGGAUGAAGGCCUCUGGGCUGUAAACCUCUUUUCUCAAGGGAGAAGAACUGACGGUACUUGAGGAAUAAGCCACGGCUAAUUCCGUGCCAGCAGCCGCGGUAAUACGGGAGUGGCAAGCGUUGUCCGGAAUUAUUGGGCGUAAAGCGUCCGCAGGCGGUCUUGAAAGUCUGUUGUUAAAGCGUGGAGCUCAACUCCAUUUCAGCAAUGGAAACUAGAAGACUAGAGUGUGGUAGGGGCAGAGGGAAUUCCCGGUGUAGCGGUGAAAUGCGUAGAUAUCGGGAAGAACACCAGUGGCGAAGGCGCUCUGCUGGGCCAUAACUGACGCUCAUGGACGAAAGCCAGGGGAGCGAAAGGGAUUAGAUACCCCUGUAGUCCUGGCCGUAAACGAUGAACACUAGGUGUCGGGGGAAUCGACCCCCUCGGUGUCGUAGCCAACGCGUUAAGUGUUCCGCCUGGGGAGUACGCACGCAAGUGUGAAGCUCAAAGGAAUUGACGGGGGCCCGCACAAGCGGUGGAGUAUGUGGUUUAAUUCGAUGCAACGCGAAGAACCUUACCAGGGUUUGACAUCCUGCGAAUCUUUUGGAAACAGAAGAGUGCCUUCGGGAGCGCAGAGACAGGUGGUGCAUGGCUGUCGUCAGCUCGUGUCGUGAGGUGUUGGGUUAAGUCCCGCAACGAGCGCAACCCACGUCUUUAGUUGCCAGCAUUGAGUUGGGCACUCUAGAGAGACCGCCGGUGAUAAACCGGAGGAAGGUGUGGAUGACGUCAAGUCAUCAUGCCCCUUACAUCCUGGGCUACACACGUACUACAAUGCUACGGACAGAGGGCAGCAAACUCGCGAGAGCUAGCAAAUCCCAUAAACCGUGGCUCAGUUCAGAUCGUAGGCUGCAACUCGCCUACGUGAAGGAGGAAUCGCUAGUAAUCGCAGGUCAGCAUACUGCGGUGAAUACGUUCCCGGGCCUUGUACACACCGCCCGUCACACCAUGGAAGUUGGCCAUGCCCGAAGUCGUUACUCCAACCCUUGUGGAGGAGGACGCCGAAGGUGGGGCUGAUGACUGG
This 1424-nucleotide ribosomal RNA is filed under the name metagenome. Its description in RNAcentral is "bacterial SSU rRNA". It matches the Rfam family "Bacterial small subunit ribosomal RNA". The record is from RNAcentral.